AUAAACGCAGCAGAAAAUAAAACAAACGAGUCAACGGGUACCCAUGAAAAACAAAACGAGUGAAAACAUCAACAUCUUGCGCCUUGCAAACAACAACGGAAAUCUACGACUGGCCUCGUCCUCCACACCCCGCAAACGCCCAAUCCCCUAAGGUUACCUGCAUAGUAGAAGAGGGAAUGAGUAAUCGAAAUCACUCAGUGAGUUCCCAAAACAAAACAACAACUACCCCCUUCAGCCCAUGCUCAAACAACAAGAGCAACACAACCAAGCAAUGCAAUAAGAACAACAGAAAUUAAAUAUGCAAUGCGAAAAUUUAAACAUGAAUACAAUGCAAAAACUUAAACAUGAAUGCAAUGCAACUACUCUACACCCAAGUUUCCCACCGAGACUUAACUACAAAACUAAGACUCGAUCUAGACUCAAUCCUAGACUCAAACACUACAAAGCAAAACACUCAAAGGAUGGCGCCACACGCAACACAUCCCGGGAUCCCUCACAACACAGAGCCCUAAAUCUCCCAACUGAACACUCCCGACCACAAACGCAGAAGUCACAUGAUCGGAAAACAUCAUUUCCGAGAAUUGGGCAUCUCCCAAUCUAACUCGGGCCGCAUCGUCAUGCAGCGCUUGUCCAUGGGCGCGACCCACUUCACGUGACAAGCCAUGGAGAGAAGGUCACUCCACCACUGGAGAAUUGGGUAUCUCCCAAUCUAACUUUAAGACAGCCAUGCACUUUAGUCUAGUUGCAACACAACACAUCAAAACAAUAAUCAAGCGUGAGGGAGCUCCACCUCUAACCUCCACGCACAACUAGACUAAAUGCACAACACAUCUCACACUCGCCCUAGCCUAGACAAAACAGAAACACACUAGCAUGAGGGGGCAAAGCCACAAACCUCAAUACAACCCUAAGCAUAGACUCAAUCUAAAACAACUAAAGCGAGCGACACACUACAACUACCCGGCAAAAGAGAUUGUCUCACUCAAAUCUCUUUGCAACCCCAAACUACACUACAAUGCAUGAGCAUAUGAACUACAUGAGAGAGUUACACUCAAAUCUUCAUGCUUCACAACAACUCAUAACCUACAACUAAUCAAACGAAUGCAUGCAUGCAACUAACGACCUAACAACACAAUGCAUGUCUAACAUAUCAUCACCCCUAGAUGAAUAUGCUCACCACCACAAGACAUGCAAUGCACAAAUACAACUAAUGCAUGCAAGAAAGUAAACACUCAAGUAUGGGGACUACCAAUCUCCUACACACACACACACACAAACAAUCAUAGCCACAAAUGUGGUUAAAUCACAAGAACUGAAACGUUUCUUGCUCCUCCACCUGCACACACACACGGUUAGAACACACAACACAACCAGGGAAACCCACCUAAGACUUCAGAAACCGCACAACAGCUCCAAAAGCAAAAGACCUAAGGUUAACACUAAAACCGAUCAAAGAGAGGCUAAAGGCUAAGAGGGAAAGGGAACCUACAAACGGUCAACUAAGGUCUUACCACCACUCCUAGCACUCCACAACUGAUCCUAGAGCAAGGAUCAAGCCACGCAAAAGCCUUCCACACUCACCUCACACACUCAAAAAAUUUAUCGGUUUUAAGCCAUUUUCUCUCUCUAGAACAAACCAUAAGAUCGAGUGAGAUAGAAAGCUCAGGGGUUUUUAAACUUCAAAAACACAUCCUAAGGGUUCUAUUUAUAGCCAAAGGGAGGGAUGGGAGCACUUGACACAUGUUCACACACUUGUCACCAAUUUAAACCUGAAAUUCAUGCAUGUGGGUUAAAUACUCUUAAUCUACUCUUUUUCUUCUGAGCUUCUGGAAGGUGACUUACUUUACCUUGACGUUCAAGUGUACCGAAUCUCAGCACAAAACCUGAUCGGCAAGUUACUUUGCGACAUAACCCAUUUUUAAGGCUUAAAUGAGCUAUUUGCAAAACACAUGGUAAACCUACUCCUUAGGUUUGUUCCCCAUUAUUCCUGCAGACUUCAUGAGGUGCUGAAUUGACCAAUGCAUGUUCUCCUUCGUGCCUGACGUGAUUCCACUCUAAAUAAUUUUUCUUCAUGAAGGGCUUUUUUACCACUUUUGGUUAAUGGACUGCUCCACUUACUCCAGGCUUCAAAUGAUUGCUCCAGCCUGCUCCAUUACUUCAUUUGGGUCCUAAAUGAACCUUAGAUGUCGAGGUUUUGAGGUAGAAACCCAUUUCUCCAGUCCAUGUCUUCUUUGCCAUUUAUAGCUCAUUUCGGGUAUAAAAUGUGUCUUCAUGAUUCCUUGCUCUCUAGAUGUCUUUUUCCCAUGAUUUCUUCACCCAAAAAUCCCUUGAUUUAUUCCACACCUUGUCCAGGUUUGAAGAAAUUUUGUCUCCUACCCGUGGCAUGCUCCUAUUGGUUGCUCGGAAGUGGUAAAUGGACCAAUAAGGCACUUUCUCUCUCCUUUGACUUUGGUUGACUUUCACUUCUGAGUUGACCACUUUCAAAACCUGAGGAAAUGUGUAAAACAUCCCUUUGAACUCCUCUCUCAUCUUUGCACAUCUUCAUUUGGCUUCCUUAGCUCUCCUCCAGCUCAUUUUGACCAUAUGGACCAAAACUGCUUUUCUCCGGAUCAUCUUGGUUAUGUGUUGGCUAGACUCUCUAAUAUGUCUUCAAAUACCUUAAAUAACGUUUCUAGGUUAACUCCUUAACUCGUUGAUUUAUGUUGAUCACCUUUGUCUUCAUGCUGCUACCGAACCUCUGAUGUAGACUAUCUCCGGUACUGCUUUUCGACUGCUUCCUUACGCUCUCGAACAAACUUGAUUCUGACUCGACCAAAUGUCUUCUCCUAUCUCAACUUGAUGAUUGAGAUUAAGUCUUACUUGAGUUGCUGACUUUGGAAAUCCUCCAUGUUCGACCAUCACCAUUCCGUAGCUUAGUUUCUAACUCCUCGAACCAUUUUUACUUAUGCUCGAUCGUUCUUCAAAACUUCUCGAUCGAACCUCCAUAAACAUCUUCAUACACCUUUCCACUUUGGUUUCUGGAUGAUUCCACGUCGUCGACUUUGCGUUGACUUGUCCUCUAAGGUCAGGGUUAUUACAUUCUCCCCUCCUUAAAAUGAAUUCGUUCCCGAAUUCACAAGUUACGCCAAACUUUCUGCCACCACCUUUUGUUGGCUACUUCAACUCUUCAUCGUCUUCUAGCUUCUUCGAUUCUACUUCGAUUAUUGAUAAUCUUCUUCCUCUCUUCUUCUUUUUCUUUGACUCUCCUUGAUAUCACCAUUUCUUUACUGCUUCAGCUUCCUCGAUCUGCUCCUUGACUUUUUGUCGUUGAUGCCGCUAUCUGCCCUCACUAUCUUCUUCUUCCUUUGUAAUCCGGCUGCUACUGUUUGAUACUCCUCCAUGUAGGUCUAAACUCCGCUACCAUUUGACCUGAUGCCACCAUCUGAUUCCACCAUUUGAUUCGAAAAUCUUCUACCACCAUUUGAUAUAAAUAAAUUCUUCUACCACCAUUUACUCAUAUCAUGACUGCCUGUUGCGGUACGAUCAACUCAACUGCUUUACCCUUGUCUCCCCUCCUUAGGAAACAACUCCAUCUUGAUCUUCAACAUUCCGUCUCUUCUUCGUCUGGGCUUUCUCCUUCAACUCUUCUUGUCUUCUUCUGGUCUUAGAUUUGACUAGGCUUCAUCUUCUACUCUCAUCACAAUCUUUCUUCUUGGCUUUACACUGUUUGGGCUUCACCACGGCAUCUUCUUGGUUUGGUUUUUCUCUUGACAUCUCUUCUCUGAUUCUUCGGCUUCUGGGCUUUUUAUUAACUUCAUCUCCUCAUGACAUCACCAUUUCAAACAUCAUACACUCUGGUCUUAACGCUUCAGUUACUGCCUUCGUUGCUUCUUCACUAGCUCGAUCACUGAUUGCUCUGGUCUUGCACACAUGAACAUGCACGGAUUGCACGAAAAUCCUUCUUGGGAGAAAGAUCACACCAUCGCUCCUCUUGAAUCCCCACACUGCUUGACGACUCUUGAACAUACGCUGACGACUCUGAACCUUCACAUUGACGACUCUGAACCGUUGCACACUCGUUGCUGAUCUAUACCACGGUUGCCUCUGAUUCCAGAUCUUCCCCACACAUGCACGAUUCUUUUGGUAACAAUACAUGUCCUUCCAACACCAUCAACGCUCACAACACAUCUCAACUUAUGGCUAUAAACAGGGAUCGGUUCCUAAAUCCUAGGAUUUACUCUAUCCUAAACUAACAAGGCUUCUAAAAGAAACUAAACCUAACUACCACAACCUAGCAAGGGCUCAUUAACCGCACUUGCUAAAAGGACACACCGUCCACAACACAACAAGGUUGCACACGCAACGCUCAACAACACAAAGCAAAACAAGCAAGCAAAGCAAAGCAAAGCAACAACUACUACUACAACACCCAAGAGAAAGGAUCAGCGCCCACUUACCUUAGCCGCCACGAGAACCCCAAUCAGGACUCCUAGUAAGGUCAAGGUCUCAGGUUUGAUCCUCCUGUUGUAGAUGAGGCUGAUCGAGCAGGGCUGGUAGGAGGAACAACGGAGAUGGGUACGACUCUGGUCACGUUGGUCAUUGGACAAUCUGCGAUGAAGUGUCCACGCGUCUCACAUGAGCUGCAAAUCAGAUAAGCGCUCAAGUCUGGCUGACUCCUAAUCCUUGUACAAGCCCGAGUAUGAUGAUCAUCCGCUCCACACACAUUGCAUUCUUCUUCGGUUGGAAUGUUGCGAGAGUCUUGAACAUUUGAUGCUGGUCUUCUAUUGGUACUUCCUUUUUCCACUUGUCCACCUAGAGCUCCAUUUGGUCUGGUCCUUCCAUUAUGAGAACUCUCCAUCAUCUGAACAUCUCUUACGAUCUCUGGUUGAACUUCCAUGUCUACUUCCCUUGCUCCAGUUCCGACUUAAGGAUUUGCUGGCGGUGACUCCAUUGGCAUUGGUGAGUAGUGAUACUCAUAGUAUUGAUCAAAAAAUUGUCCGAUGCUCUCCAAACUCUAAUCAAGAGAUCCUCCAAGUGAAAAUGCUGGACUCCAAGCUGGCAUCGAAAUCCACAGACUGCUUUCACGAGAACUGAUGUCAAUGAUGUUGACGGCAACUGUGCUGUCUGAUGAGAUCUCAAUAACUUCUGGCGCUGGUGGUUUAAUGAUCUCCACGUCGGACGAGCUGAUGUCCAUUGCUUCCCAAUACUCAUUGCCAUAACCAUACUGGUAGUUGAAUGAGUCGGAUGCUUGCGGAAUUGCUCCCAGUCCUGCGAAAAAGUUCAUGCCUUCCAGGUGAUCAGAUUCUUCUUCAACUUCUUCAAGUACUUCAGCUUCUUCAAAUUCAGAUGACCCAGUCUCAUGUGAACUCUCGGUGCUCUCGACCACAUUCUCAUCUUCAAAGUUAGAAUCAGACGCUGACUCGCUGGAUGAGCUUGACUCACUUGAUCCAUCAUAACCGGCUGCUCCAGACAGUUGUCCAACCCUCCGUAACCGUACCACAUUCCUCAUCCUCGAUCCACUCCCAACCUGUCGACUGCCUGCACCAGAAACUACAACACAAGGUAAAAGGGUAAGGUCCUAAAUUCUCAAAAACUGAUCUAACAUACCUAAUCCUAAUCCUAAGCAGAGGACAUGCCAGUUCCCUAAUGAUGUUGUUUGCGACUCCUUUUGACUCGAUAAAACAUUUUAAAACCCCCAAACGAAAGUAAUGGUAUCUCAACCAUUGCUUUGAUACCACCAUUUGUAACACCCCCGGACCGUCCUAGGCCGGACCAACCCGGAACGUCCCGGAAGCGUUACAAGGGUUGACAGUACCAAAGUCGUACCAGUUAAGACUUCAAAACAAAUUCAAAGUCUCGACCAGUCCGACCACUGUACCGUCCCUCUCAACCUCGGCCUAAGGCUUGCAAACCCGUACCUCGGUCAAGAGUUGUGUUAAGUUCGGACUAAACUCAAAUAUCAGCGUUCCACGGGGAUUUUAUUAAAGCAAACAUAAUUUUAUUUAUUUUACAAAGUCGGGAACUCGACUAAAGUCCUUAAAGAUAAACGCAGCAGAAAAUUAAAACAAACGAGUCAACGGGUACCCAUGAAAAACAAAACGAGUGAAAACAUCAACAUCUUGCGCCUUGCAAACAACAACGGAAAUCUACACCUGGCCUCGUCCUCCGCACACUGCAAACGCCCAAUCCCCUAAGGUUACCUGCAUAGUAGAAGAGGGAAUGAGUAAUCGAAAUCACUCAGUGAGUUCCCAAAACAAAACAACAACUACCCCCUUCAGCCCAUGCUCAAACAACAAGAGCAACACAACCAAGCAAUGCAAUAAUAACAACCGAAAUUAAAUAUGCAAUGCGAGAAUUUAAACAUGAAUGCAAUGCAAAAACUUAAACAUGAAUGCAAUGCAACUACUCUACACCCAAGUCUCCCACCGAGACUUAACUACAAAACUAAGACUCGAUCUAGACUCAAUCCUAGACUCAAACACUACAAAACAAAACACUCAAAGGAUGGCGCCACACGCAACACAUCCCGGGAUCCCUCACAACACAGAGCCCUAACUCUCCCAACUUAACACUCCCGACCACAAACACAUAAGUCACAUGAUCGGAAAACAUCAUCUCCGAGAAUUGGGCAUCUCCCAAUCUAACUCGGGCCUCAUCGUCAUGCAGCGCUUGUCCAUGGGCGCGACCCACUUCACGUGACAAGCCAUGGAGAGAAGGUCACUCCACCACUGAAGAAUUGGGUAUCUCCCAAUCUAACUCCGAGACAGCCAUGCACCUUAGUCUAGAUGAAACACAACACAUCAAAACAAUAAUCAAGCGUGAGGGAGCUCCACCUCUAACCUCCACACACAACUAAACUAAAUGCACAACACAUCUCACACUCACCCUAGCCUAGACAAAACACAAACACACUAGCAUGAGGGGGCAAAGCCACAAACCUCAAUACAACCCUAAGCCUAGACUCAACCAACAACAACUAAAGCGAGCGACACACUACAACUACCCGGCAAAAGAGAGAGUCUCACUCAAAUCUCUUUGCAACCCCAAACUACACUACAAUGCAUGAGCAUAUGAACUACAUGAGACAGUUACACUCAAAUCUUCAUGCUUCACAACAACAACUCACAAGCUACAACUAAUCAAACGAAUGCAUGCAUGCAACUAACGACCUAACAAACCAAUGCAUGUCUAACAUAUCAUCACCCCUAGAUGAAUAUGUUCACCACCACAAGACAUGCAAUGCACAAAUACAACUAAUGCAUGCAAGAAAGUAAACACUCAAGUAUGGGGACUACCAAUCUCCCACACACACACACACAAACAAUCAUGGCCACAAAUGUGGUUCAAUCACAAGAACUAAAACGUUUCUUGCUCCUCCACCUGCACACACACACACGCUUAGAACACACAACACAACCAGGGAAACCCACCUAAGACUUCACAAACCGCACAACAGCUCCAAGAGCAAAAGACCUAAGGUUAACACUAAAACCGAUCAAAGAGAGGCUAAAGGCUAAGAGGGAAAGGGAACCUACAAACGGUCAAAUAAGGUCUUACCACCACUCCUAGCACUCACAACUGAUCCUAGAGCAAGGAUCAAGCCACGCAAAAGCCUUUCACACUCACCUCACACACUCAAAAAUUUUAUCGGUUUUAAGCCAUUUUCUCUCUCUAGAACAAACCAUAAGAUCGACUGAGAGAGAAAGCUCAGG
Molecule: long non-coding RNA, 7691 nt
Filed under: Brassica napus (rape)
Lineage: Eukaryota; Viridiplantae; Streptophyta; Magnoliopsida; Brassicales; Brassicaceae
Description: long non-coding RNA (BNAP_LNC009244)
Source: RNAcentral